GGGAGUGCUGGGCUUUGAUAGAAUUUAAAAAUUAAAUACGCAGGUCGAGGAUAUCUCGUAACCUUGAAAUUCCGUCCCGCUCAGCGGGAUGCGACAAUCCCCGAGAUAAAGCAGAAAAUAACUGCCAAAACAAACUUAACUCCUGCUUUAGCUUUUGCUUAAGCAGCAUCGGUUGUCUGAUGUCUAAUAGGACAAUACCGGUGUCAACCAUUGGGCUUUAACUCGCUGAAUUCUUCGCUCCGAGUCGAACUAAAGAAGAAAUUGGAAAUUCCCCAUUUUGGCCGCUUUGAGGAGGAUUUUCAAAAAUUUAAACGGUCUAUCGCCUGUAGAAAUAUCUAAUUAAAAAAUUCUAGAUGCGAGUUCAACUCUCGCCACUUCCACUU
RNAcentral lists this transfer-messenger RNA (383 nucleotides) under bacterium. It matches the Rfam family "transfer-messenger RNA". From Rfam's summary of the family: Bacterial tmRNA, also known as 10Sa RNA or SsrA, is named for its dual tRNA and mRNA-like properties. Its role is to liberate the mRNA from a stalled ribosome. The record is from RNAcentral.